This 91-nucleotide non-coding RNA is filed under the name Alloactinosynnema sp. L-07. RNAcentral's name for it is "SAM riboswitch aptamer (S box leader)". It matches the Rfam family "SAM riboswitch aptamer (S box leader)". Rfam says of the family: The SAM riboswitch is found upstream of a number of genes which code for proteins involved in methionine or cysteine biosynthesis in Gram-positive bacteria. The record is from Rfam by way of RNAcentral. Lineage: Bacteria; Bacillati; Actinomycetota; Actinomycetes; Pseudonocardiales; Pseudonocardiaceae. RNAcentral also lists the same sequence under 1 other name.
CAUCCAUCCCGAGCGGCCGAGAGAUCUGGCUCUGCGACGCCGCAGCAACCACCCAUCGUUGGGCAGGUGCUACCGCCAGGAGCGAUGGAGG